Molecule: non-coding RNA, 663 nt
Organism: Pelobates cultripes (western spadefoot toad)
Lineage: Eukaryota; Metazoa; Chordata; Amphibia; Anura; Pelobatidae
Source: the annotation of a GenBank genome assembly
GUUUAUGAACCCUAGUCACACCUCCCUGCAUGUGACUUGCACAGCCUUCCAUAAACACUUCCUGUAAAGAGAGCCCUAUUUAGGCUUUCUUUAUUGCAAGUUCUGUUUAAUUAAGAUUUUCUUAUCCCCUGCUAUGUUAAUAGCUUGCUAGACCCUGCAAGAGCCUCCUGUAUGUGAUUAAAGUUCAAUUUAGAGAUUGAGAUACAAUUAUUUAAGGUAAAUUACAUCUGUUUGAAAGUGAAACCAAUCAUAGCCAGGGGAGGUGUGGCUAGGGCAGAACUAAAGUGAUUUAACUCCUAAAUGACAGUGAAUUGAGCAGUGAAAUUGCAGGGGAAUGAUCUAUACACUAAAACUGCUUUAUUUAGCUAAAGUAAUUUAGGUGACUAUAAUGUUCCUUUAAGUAUUUUCUUAGUAUUAGCCAUACUGGGCUGGGGUAGUAGGGAAGGGCUUGCAAAGGUCUGCAGCAUUUUUUAAAAGCUGUUUCUUGAUAUACCGACACAGGAAAAAUAAAGGCAAUGCAUUAACGUUUUCAUUGUUGUGUAUCUACUAAAUAAUGAUAUUGUAAUUUUUGUUUUUAAUUGGCCAUCUUUCAAUUGGUCAUUGCUCCUCAACCACUCCAAAAAAGUGUGACAAACAAAACACUAAAGCACUAGUAAAUGUAUG